UACGGAGGGCGCCAGCGUUGUUCGGAAUCAUUGGGCGUAAAGCGCGUGUAGGCGGCUUGGCAAGUCGAGUGUGAAAUCCCGGGGCUCAACCCCGGAACGUCGCUCGAAACUGCCUCGCUCGAGUCCCGGAGAGGAAGGCGGAAUUCCCGGUGUAGAGGUGAAAUUCGUAGAUAUCGGGAGGAACACCAGUGGCGAAGGUGGCCUUCGGGACGGUGACUGACGCUGAGACGCGAAAGCGUGGGGAGCAAACAGG
This 253-nucleotide ribosomal RNA is filed under the name uncultured bacterium. RNAcentral describes it as "partial 16S ribosomal RNA". It matches the Rfam family "Bacterial small subunit ribosomal RNA", at positions 524 to 776 of the family's 1533-position model. The record is from RNAcentral.